RNAcentral lists this ribosomal RNA (2171 nucleotides) under Enterobacter hormaechei. RNAcentral describes it as "partial 23S ribosomal RNA". It matches the Rfam family "Bacterial large subunit ribosomal RNA", at positions 1 to 2187 of the family's 2925-position model. Lineage: Bacteria; Pseudomonadati; Pseudomonadota; Gammaproteobacteria; Enterobacterales; Enterobacteriaceae. The record is from RNAcentral.
GGGUUGUGAGGUUAAGCGACUAAGCGUACACGGUGGAUGCCCUGGCAGUCAGAGGCGAUGAAGGACGUGCUAAUCUGCGAAAAGCGCCGGCGAGGUGAUAUGAACCUUUGACCCGGCGAUGUCCGAAUGGGGAAACCCAGUGUGUUCCGACACACUAUCGUUAACUGAAUACAUAGGUUAACGAGGCGAACCGGGGGAACUGAAACAUCUAAGUACCCCGAGGAAAAGAAAUCAACCGAGAUUCCCCCAGUAGCGGCGAGCGAACGGGGAGCAGCCCGGAGUCUGAAUCAGCUUGUGUGUUAGUGGAACGGUCUGGAAAGUCCGACGGUACAGGGUGAUAGUCCCGUACACGAAAACACACAUGCUGUGAACUCGAAGAGUAGGGCGGGACACGUGGUAUCCUGUCUGAAUAUGGGGGGACCAUCCUCCAAGGCUAAAUACUCCUGACUGACCGAUAGUGAACCAGUACCGUGAGGGAAAGGCGAAAAGAACCCCGGCGAGGGGAGUGAAAAAGAACCUGAAACCGUGUACGUACAAGCAGUGGGAGCACCUUCGGGUGUGACUGCGUACCUUUUGUAUAAUGGGUCAGCGACUUAUAUUCUGUAGCAAGGUUAACCGUAUAGGGGAGCCGAAGGGAAACCGAGUCUUAACUGGGCGUUAAGUUGCAGGGUAUAGACCCGAAACCCGGUGAUCUAGCCAUGGGCAGGUUGAAGGUUGGGUAACACUAACUGGAGGACCGAACCGACUAAUGUUGAAAAAUUAGCGGAUGACCUGUGGCUGGGGGUGAAAGGCCAAUCAAACCGGGAGAUAGCUGGUUCUCCCCGAAAGCUAUUUAGGUAGCGCCUCGUGAACUCAUCUUCGGGGGUAGAGCACUGUUUCGGCUAGGGGGCCAUCCCGGCUUACCAACCCGAUGCAAACUACGAAUACCGAAGAAUGUUAUCACGGGAGACACACGGCGGGUGCUAACGUCCGUCGUGAAGAGGGAAACAACCCAGACCGCCAGCUAAGGUCCCAAAGUCAUGGUUAAGUGGGAAACGAUGUGGGAAGGCACAGACAGCCAGGAUGUUGGCUUAGAAGCAGCCAUCAUUUAAAGAAAGCGUAAUAGCUCACUGGUCGAGUCGGCCUGCGCGGAAGAUGUAACGGGGCUAAACCAUGCACCGAAGCUGCGGCAGCGACGCUUAUGCGUUGUUGGGUAGGGGAGCGUUCUGUAAGCCGUUGAAGGUGUGCUGUGAGGCAUGCUGGAGGUAUCAGAAGUGCGAAUGCUGACAUAAGUAACGAUAAAGCGGGUGAAAAGCCCGCUCGCCGGAAGACCAAGGGUUCCUGUCCAACGUUAAUCGGGGCAGGGUGAGUCGACCCCUAAGGCGAGGCCGAAAGGCGUAGUCGAUGGGAAACAGGUUAAUAUUCCUGUACUUGGUGUUACUGCGAAGGGGGGACGGAGAAGGCUAUGUCAGCCGGGCGACGGUUGUCCCGGUUUAAGCAUGUAGGCGGAGGUUCCAGGUAAAUCCGGUACCUUGUUAACGCUGAGGUGUGAUGACGAGGCACUACGGUGCUGAAGUGAUAAAUGCCCUGCUUCCAGGAAAAGCCUCUAAGCAUCAGGUAACACGAAAUCGUACCCCAAACCGACACAGGUGGUCAGGUAGAGAAUACCAAGGCGCUUGAGAGAACUCGGGUGAAGGAACUAGGCAAAAUGGUGCCGUAACUUCGGGAGAAGGCACGCUGAUAUGUAGGUGAAGCCCCUGCGGGCGGAGCUGAAAUCAGUCGAAGAUACCAGCUGGCUGCAACUGUUUAUUAAAAACACAGCACUGUGCAAACACGAAAGUGGACGUAUACGGUGUGACGCCUGCCCGGUGCCGGAAGGUUAAUUGAUGGGGUUAGCGGCAACGCGAAGCUCUUGAUCGAAGCCCCGGUAAACGGCGGCCGUAACUAUAACGGUCCUAAGGUAGCGAAAUUCCUUGUCGGGUAAGUUCCGACCUGCACGAAUGGCGUAAUGAUGGCCAGGCUGUCUCCACCCGAGACUCAGUGAAAUUGAACUCGCUGUGAAGAUGCAGUGUACCCGCGGCAAGACGGAAAGACCCCGUGAACCUUUACUAUAGCUUGACACUGAACACUGGUCCUUGAUGUGUAGGAUAGGUGGGAGGCUUUGAAGCGUGGACGCCAGUCUGCGUGGAGCC